GCCUGGAUGGCUCAGUCGGUUGAGCGUCUGACUUCAGCUCAGGUCAUGAUCUCACGGUUCGUGAGUUCAAGCCCCAUGUCGGGCU
RNAcentral lists this transfer RNA (85 nucleotides) under Felis catus (domestic cat). It matches the Rfam family "tRNA". From Rfam's summary of the family: Transfer RNA (tRNA) molecules are approximately 80 nucleotides in length. Their secondary structure includes four short double-helical elements and three loops (D, anti-codon, and T loops). Further hydrogen bonds mediate the characteristic L-shaped molecular structure. tRNAs have two regions of fundamental functional importance: the anti-codon, which is responsible for specific mRNA codon recognition, and the 3' end, to which the tRNAs corresponding amino acid is attached (by aminoacyl-tRNA synthetases). tRNAs cope with the degeneracy of the genetic code in two manners: having more than one tRNA (with a specific anti-codon) for a particular amino acid; and 'wobble' base-pairing, i.e. permitting non-standard base-pairing at the 3rd anti-codon position. Lineage: Eukaryota; Metazoa; Chordata; Mammalia; Carnivora; Felidae. The record is from Rfam by way of RNAcentral.